GACGAACGCUGGCGGCGUGCUUAACACAUGCAAGUCGAACGGAAAGGCCCGGCUUUUGUUGGGUGCUGCGGGUGCUAACGGGUGGAUCACGCGUGAGACACGUGCCCGUUACGUCGGGAACACUGCAAUAAACUUGGGCUAAUAGCUGAUAUGAGCUCCAGCUGCAUGGUGGGGGUUGUAAAGUGUGGGCGGUUGGGCAUGGGGUUGGGGCUUAUCAGGUUGUUGGUGGGGUAGUGGGUCACCAAGGCGUUGACGGGGAGCCGGCCUGAGAGGGUGACCGGACAUAUUGGGACUGAGACAACGCCCAGAAGCCGACGGGAGGCAGAAGUGAGGAAUAGUGCACAAUGGGCGGAACGCUGAUGCAGCAACGCCGGGUGCGGGAUGAUGGCCUUCGGGUGGCAAACCGCUUUCGCCUGGGAUGAAGGGUGAGUGACGGUAAUGGGUAAAGAAGCACCGGCUAACUACGUG
Molecule: ribosomal RNA, 468 nt
Filed under: uncultured bacterium
Lineage: Bacteria
Description: partial 16S ribosomal RNA
Rfam family: Bacterial small subunit ribosomal RNA
Source: RNAcentral